This is an unclassified non-coding RNA of Cercocebus atys (sooty mangabey), 288 nucleotides long. Its record names the gene 7SK. It matches the Rfam family "7SK RNA". From Rfam's summary of the family: 7SK was discovered as an abundant small nuclear RNA in the mid-70s but a possible function has only recently been suggested. Two independent studies have found that 7SK RNA binds the CDK9/cyclin T complex (known as elongation factor P-TEFb). Lineage: Eukaryota; Metazoa; Chordata; Mammalia; Primates; Cercopithecidae. The record is from Ensembl.
GGAUGAAAGGGAAAUCUGGCUGUGACAUUUGUCACCCCAUUGAUCCCCAGGGUUGAAUUGGCUGAUCUGCCUGGCUAGGCAGGUGUCCCCUUCCCCCCUCACUGCUCCAUGUGCAUCUUCCCUGAAGCUGUGUGCUCUGUCAAAGAGGACGACCAUCCCUGAUAGAUGAGGACCCAUCUUUGGUCAGGGGUAUUCAAGUAGGUGCACUCCCCAACUAGAACCUCCACACAAGCUCUCAAAUAUUCUCUGCUGUUUGCAGCUGUGGAUGUGCCCUCAAGAACGCACCAU